Molecule: non-coding RNA, 2672 nt
Organism: Ictidomys tridecemlineatus (thirteen-lined ground squirrel)
Lineage: Eukaryota; Metazoa; Chordata; Mammalia; Rodentia; Sciuridae
Source: RefSeq, a predicted model, not a curated record
AGGCUCCCCAAAGUAGGAAGCAGAGAGCUACCAGGUCCCAGGGCAGGAAGUCCCAGGGAUGGGUCAAACAGGGGAGGACAAGCCCAGCUACAGAGACUGUAUCACCUAUUCCUUGACCCUUUGGUUGGAUUUAUCCAGAAGGAAGGACCAGUGUGAAUUGGAACUAGAACCCAGGUGUACUGAAGACAAGGUCAAUACCAGCACCAAACAAGAUGCAUUCUAGAAAGGCUCCUGGUUGAUAAUUUGGACAAAUGGUCAUGGCAAAUGCUCCACGUGGCAACUUGUACUAGGUGCGGCGAUGGUGGGUCUGUGGAUACAGUCCCUGUGCUCGUGAAACUGGCCCUGGUGGGGAGAGAGACAUCUCCAUACAGGGUGAGAAAUGAGACUCACCUAAGAUGCAGAAGGCAGGCUGAAUGUGUUUGUUCCUUCUCUAAAUUCUGAAAGAAAAAACAAAGACGGUGGAAAUCGCUGGUUCAAUUCCUGCUUCUCAGCUUGCCAGAGUUUGAGGCCCAUUUCCCCUUCUGCUUCUCCGUGUUUGUGGGGGUCACAUGAAGACUCUGUGCCCUGCUUCACCCCCUGGAAACCCAGCUUUGGGUCCUUGCAGUUUGAACAGGAUGGUCCUCCGAAAACCCAGCAUAAAAGACAGCUGUAGUUAUGAUUCAGAAGGAAGAGCCCCAGGAUGGAGGACACCAGCCUCCAGAAUUGCACCACAGAUUAAAUGUCUUGGAACAUGACAGAAAGUUCACGUGUGCCUCACACUGAGCAAGAGAGAGGCAGGGGAGGAAGGGCCCCCGAAAGGAAGAGAUCUUUAACAAACCUCCCUGAUUCUCUUAUUUUGCACUAUAAAACAUAAUGGAGAUUUCAUCAACUUGGCAGGAAAUCGCGAGCUAAUAAAAGAGCCUUGUUACAAAGAUAAUAAGAAGACAAAGUCAUAAAAGAGACUUGGCUGAAUUCUGGCUUCAGGCCUCACUCUCUCCGGCUCUGCGGGGACCCAGGCUUCAUCAACUCAGUUAAUCGAGUGGAUGGUCAGGCAUUUGUCCUUUCUUGCUUUUGUUCUUUCUUCACAUUCCAGGGCGCUUCGCCCACAGGGUGUGCUUCGAAAGGCAGACAGGAAGUGCUGCGGUGUGAAGCCUCCCUGUGCCUUCUGUCCCCCUGCUGCUUUAGCUGGGUGCCGUCCCCUGAAGGAGCUGGGCAUCGACCCUCCAGCCGGCUCUUCUUCCCUGGAUUUCCACCUUCCCACUGGCUUCCAGCCAAAAUAUCAGCUGCCUUUCUCCCCUCCUUCCCUGGAAUUUGGGACCCUCCUCCCUGCUCCAGGUGUGGAGUUUCUCCCAGGCCCGGCCCAAACCUUCUGAAUCAGAAUCUACAUGUUCACAGAUUCCCUGGUGAUUCCCGUGCACCUUGAAGCUCCAGUGGGGCCAUCUCAGAGAGCCAGGACGUACACCUUCGCCAUAUCUGCCUUCAAUGCUCUCUCAGUUCUGGAAAAGGACCAUAUGGUGAGGGUGCCUUCAAGCACAGGAGACCUUGCACCUGCAGGCCCAGGCCAAAGAUCAAGCUUUGCUGAACCAGAGUGAAGAAAACAACGACCGUGAAACAUCUUCUUUGCAGGCGCCCAGGCUGCAAUGGGCUGUCCACAAGGUCAUCCUGGAAAGCCAAGGACAGCGCAGACACCUCCUGGCUCCUGCUGUAAUGGACGGAAGCAAUGGUGCAGAUAAUCUAGCCAAAUGGCGGAAGUCCUCCACCAACGGGAGUUUUCAAAGGUACAGACCCACCGGGACUAAGAAAACCAAGCAGGAGACCACAGCGAAAGGAGCUGAGCGAGUCUGGAAAUGUCAGACGCAGGCAGAGAAACCGUAGUUUGUGCAGAAAAGAACAGCCAUAUCCCAGGAGCCACCAGGAAGGUAACCAGGAGAUACCCAGAGCCCAGGGAAACCGAGACCUAGUAUCACAGCAGAGGGGAACUCAAAGCUGGGCUGAAAUGGAAAGUCGCCUAAAAUUCUGUGGGUAGAGUAGUUAAGCCCUCGCACCCCCUCGCCCUGGGGAGACAAGCACCCUUUCUCCACCCUUACACCCCCAGAAAGAAAGCAGAGGCUUAUUCUCCAAAGAAAAAUGAACCUGGGAGUCUCCACAGGUGAGAAGCUGAGGCAAGGAAAUGAAAGUGCCCGCGGCUGCAUGCAGAAGUCAAGCAGGAUGGUCGCAGCUGGGGAAGAGCCCUCGGGUACCGGCCAACGGGCGCUGAGGGCUGAGAGCUGGCCAGAGCUCACAGAGUGGACUCAGCAUAGGGGGCAGCAUCGUGCCCCUUACCAAGAGCAAAGUUUCCUGUGGAAGCUCAGUCCUAUCCUGGGUCAGAAAAAGAGGCAACUAUAAAGGAGGACCUGCGAGCUUCUAGGGAAAUUGGAAUUUGGCCUCUAUAUUGUAAAUACCUUGCUAGGAUAACACUACUGGGGAAAUGCAGGAGAAGGUCUGAGUCCUUAGAAGAGCCACAUGGAUGUGUUUAGGAUGGAAGCCUGAUGAUGACUGCACCUGUCAAAAGUUCAACAAACGGAUUAUGUAAUGCAAAUAUGUGUGAAUAUGUGCAUAGAUAGGUAAAGAGACAAAAUGGCCCUAAGAGAGAAGAGAACGGAGGAAGCCAAUGUACCAAAAUGUUGCAAUAAUGAAUCAAAUGUGUAUUCAGG